UUUUUUUCCUCUAAUUUUAAUUGUUUUAUCUUUGCUAAUGUGAAGGUGACAGCUUUGCAAUAUUGCGGGCAGAACUGAAGAAUCAAAAUAAACAUAUAAAGAGUCUGAAAAAGAAAUCCCUCUGGUCUAGGAUUUUGGAUGAGGUAGUCAAUACUUCUGUUUUUACAAGGAUGCCGAAUGUAGACUAGGCUUUUUAUAUUAGAAUUCUGACUUUUAAUUUUUACAUGCAACUGGAGACAAGGUUAUGUUCUGUAGAAUGAAUUUUUACUUGUUUGUUGUCACUAUAAAUCUUUAUUCUGCAACCAAGCUAAUUUAUGUUAUGUUUCUUUAUGUUAAGGUAAUGGAGAAGCUUGUAGGCGUCGUCCAUUUGCUAAAUUUGGAGAUCCAUAUGGCAUUUGGUAGCUCUGGUAAUCAUCCAAAAUUUUCGAUAUAGUUUAAACAGUUAUGCUCGCCUUUUUAUGUCUUUGACACUAUUUUUUCCUUUUUCAGUAUGUGCUUGUCCAUUUUGAGUUCUUGUGAUUUAUCUUCUCCUCUUUUAGUGGCCCUUGUUCUCUUAAUAUUCUAAUCCCUUAUUCAUCUGAUAACGAAAAAAGAUGGUGUAAAAUUGUUCUUAUUUUUAUUUCUUUUUCAUGCUUCAUAAAUAUAACUAUAUGCAGUUCAGUGUUCGAAUAGUCCAAUAAUUCCUGGUUCAAUUAUUUAAUAAAAAAUGUGUAUUUUGUUUGUUCGUUGGGUGACUAUUGCAGAUGGAGAUAGGCCAAUAAAAAACCACCAGCAGAAGUUGGGAUCUGCUGGCCUUGCAC
RNAcentral lists this long non-coding RNA (800 nucleotides) under Olea europaea subsp. europaea. Lineage: Eukaryota; Viridiplantae; Streptophyta; Magnoliopsida; Lamiales; Oleaceae. The record is from RNAcentral.